GACGAACGCUGGCGGCGUGCCUAACACAUGCAAGUGGAGCGACGACCCGGGCUUCGGCCCGGUGCAAAGCCGCGAACGGGUGAGUAACACGUGGGUAACCUGCCCUGAUGAUUGGGACAACCCGAGGAAACUCGGGCUAAUACCGAAUGUGCCCUCCGGCCGUAAGGCCUCUGGGGAAAGGAAGCUUCGGCCUCCGCAUCGGGAUGGGCCCGCGGCCCAUUAGCUUGUUGGUGGGGUAACGGCUCACCAAGGCAACGAUGGGUAGCUGGUCUGAGAG
RNAcentral lists this ribosomal RNA (277 nucleotides) under uncultured bacterium. RNAcentral describes it as "partial 16S ribosomal RNA". It matches the Rfam family "Bacterial small subunit ribosomal RNA", at positions 28 to 298 of the family's 1533-position model. The record is from RNAcentral.